Long non-coding RNA from Oncorhynchus tshawytscha (Chinook salmon), 1524 nucleotides. RefSeq lists it as uncharacterized. NCBI's taxonomy places the organism in Eukaryota, Metazoa, Chordata, Actinopteri, Salmoniformes, Salmonidae. The record is from RefSeq and is a predicted model, not a curated record. The transcript is spliced from 3 exons.
CCCCCUUCCUGUUCAAGUGAGCACAGCACAACAAGUUCACGGAGUUCACCUGAAAACCAAGAGGAUGAGUCAGGAAAGGCUAAGGUUACUGCUGCCUGCCCAGGAGGAGGAGGCCCAGGGGAAGGAGGAGAGGAGAGAGCCAUUCCACAGAUUUGUCUCUCACAAAGAUGGAGAAGAAAGGUUGAGGUCAUAAUAGAGCACAUUCUGCUGAUUUGAAAAUAAUUGAACCCUUAAUCUGUCUGGAAUUGAAGUAAUGGAGAGGGAUGGACCUUGGCCUUCGUGUACUGUGGUUGAGUGUCAGGCUAGAAGGAUGAAGAUAGGUCUGGGUGAGUGCAGAAAAUAGAAGCACAGGCAUUGACGUUACAGCUCAGACAAUAACAAAAAUAAACAAUCAAUAGAACAUAUAAAUACAAUAUAAUAUAUACAUUCAGUUAUCCUAUGAAGAGGAUAGAGAAUGCACAUUAAAUACAUGCUAAAAUACAUCUUGAAUAGUUUUUUAUUAUAUCAAACUAAAUAAGUAUAAUUAUUUUCCCGUCCUAUGGCCUUGAGCAAUUUGCGAGCAGCGUGCCCAGCCAAGCUCAAGAGUCUCCACUCCCUGAAACUCCCUGAAUCCAAUCGAUUCAUUUUCAACUUCCACUUACCCUGCUAUGGAUCAAAAUCCAUGUUACAGAUGGGAUAUAGUAAACCUUGUUAAGUUGUGGAGAGACAAAAAAAUAUAUUGCCUCAUUUGUCGGGGUUUGAACUUAACAUUGUUUUAAAGACAUAUUGGACUAUGCUCAGUGGGAUGUCAAAGGAGUCAAUCCUCAGAGUAAAGUAAUCUAUAGCAUCAUUAGCAACUGAACAUGAUGUUAGAUACCCUGGAGAGAUUCUAUGGUUUCCCCCAUCAUGGAGUCCUACAGCAACUGUUUUGCUCACCAUAGUUUUAUUUCUGUUUACAGUAACAUUGAUAUCUCUAAAUCACUGGCAGUUGAAAAGAUAACUGUGAGUGCUAUUAUGAUGUUUAGAUGUGUUCCAGACAUAUUUUAAAGCGAGAUCGAUGCACUGACAAAAUAAGUCAUGAAAAAUGGUGAUAUUUGUCAUCUGAGGUAUUUCUCGGUGACAGAGCAGCGAUGAUGUCAAGGAGAGCUUCACCUCAAUCCCCUGGUAAUAAAACACAGACCCAGGAGCAAAUUUAACUGACCUCAGACCCUUUGGAAGCUUGAAGAACGAUCUGGCCUUAAUGGCCCUGUACUCUUAUAAUAUCUGCCUGGCACAGCUAGAAGAGGAGUGGCCACCCCACAAAGCCUGAUUCCUCUAUAGGUUUCUUCCUAGGUUCCUGCCUUUCUAGGGAUUUUUUCCUAACCACAGUACUUCUUUUUUUGUGCUUUGGGGUUUUAGGCUCGGUUUCUGUAUAAGAACUUUGUGACAACUGGUGAUGUAAAAAGGGCUUUAAAGAUAUGUACAUUUGAUUUACUGAUUGUUUUUUAACCUCUGUGUCCACGAGAGAAAGAGAGAGAGAGGGAGGGGGAGAGAAAGAGAGAGAGA